Molecule: ribosomal RNA, 828 nt
Filed under: uncultured bacterium
Lineage: Bacteria
Description: bacterial SSU rRNA
Rfam family: Bacterial small subunit ribosomal RNA
Source: RNAcentral
GGUUAGUAACGCGUGGGAAUAUGCCCAAAGGUACGGAAUAGCCUCGGGAAACUGAGAGUAAUACCGUAUGUGCCCUUCGGGGGAAAGAUUUAUCGCCUUUGGAUUAGCCCGCGUUGGAUUAGGUAGUUGGUGGGGUAAAGGCUCACCAAGGCGACGAUCCGUAACUGGUCUGAGAGGAUGAUCAGUCACACUGGAACUGAGACACGGUCCAGACUCCUACGGGAGGCAGCAGUGGGGAAUAUUGGACAAUGGGCGAAAGCCUGAUCCAGCCAUGCCGCGUGUGUGAAGAAGGUCUUCGGAUUGUAAAGCACUUUAAGUUGGGAGGAAGGGCAGUAAGCUAAUACCUUGCUGUUUUGACGUUACCGACAGAAUAAGCACCGGCUAACUUCGUGCCAGCAGCCGCGGUAAUACGAAGGGUGCAAGCGUUAAUCGGAAUUACUGGGCGUAAAGCGCGCGUAGGUGGUUCGUUAAGUUGGAUGUGAAAGCCCCGGGCUCAACCUGGGAACUGCAUCCAAAACUGGCGAGCUAGAGUAUGGCAGAGGGUGGUGGAAUUUCCUGUGUAGCGGUGAAAUGCGUAGAUAUAGGAAGGAACACCAGUGGCGAAGGCGACCACCUGGGCUAAUACUGACACUGAGGUGCGAAAGCGUGGGGAGCAAACAGGAUUAGAUACCCUGGUAGUCCACGCCGUAAACGAUGUCGACUAGCCGUUGGGAUCCUUGAGAUCUUAGUGGCGCAACUAACGCAUUAAGUCGACCCGCCUGGGGAGUACGGCCGCAAUGGUUAAAAACUCAAAUGAAUUGACGGGGGCCCCGCACAAGCGGUGGAGCA